UACAGAGGGGGCAAGCGUUAUUCGGAAUUAUUGGGCGUAAAGGGCGCGUAGGCGGCCUAGCAAGUGGCGGGUGAAAUCCCUCGGCUUAACCGAGGAACUGCCUGCCAGACUGCCUGGCUCGAGACCGGGAGAGGUGAGUGGAAUUCCCAGUGUAGCGGUGAAAUGCGUAGAUAUUGGGAGGAACACCGGUGGCGAAGGCGGAUCUCUGGGCCAUUACUGACGCUGAGGAGCGAAAGCGUGGGGAGCGAACAGG
This 253-nucleotide ribosomal RNA is filed under the name uncultured bacterium. RNAcentral describes it as "partial 16S ribosomal RNA". It matches the Rfam family "Bacterial small subunit ribosomal RNA", at positions 524 to 776 of the family's 1533-position model. The record is from RNAcentral.